GAUGAACGCUAGCGGCAGGCCUAAUACAUGCAAGUCAAGGGGUCGUAGCAAUACGGCACCGGCGAACGGGUGCGUAACGCGUACGCAAUAUACCUCUAAGAGGGGGAUAGCUUCUGGAAACGGGAGGUAAUACCCCAUAGUAUUAUUUGGUAGCAUUACUGGAUAAUUAAAACUCAGGUGCUUAGAGAUUGGCGUGCGUCCUAUUAGAUAGUUGGUGAGGUAACGGCUCACCAAGUCGAUGAUAGGUAGGGGCGUGAGAGCGUGGUCCCCCACACGGACACUGAGAUACGGGUCCGACUCCUACGGGAGGCAGCAGUAAGGAAUAUUGGUCAAUGGACGGAAGUCUGAACCAGCCAUGCCGCGUGGAGGAUGAAGGUGCUACGCAUUGUAAACUUCUUUGGACGGAGAAGAAACCCCUGCCUGCGGGCGGGGCUGACGGUAUCCGUAGAACAAGCACCGGCUAACUCCGUGCCAGCAGCCGCGGUAAU
Molecule: ribosomal RNA, 488 nt
Filed under: uncultured bacterium
Lineage: Bacteria
Description: bacterial SSU rRNA
Rfam family: Bacterial small subunit ribosomal RNA
Source: RNAcentral